GAUGAACGCUGGCGGCGUGCCUAAUACAUGCAAGUCGAGCGAACGGACGAGAAGCUUGCUUCUCUGAUGUUAGCGGCGGACGGGUGAGUAACACGUGGAUAACCUACCUAUAAGACUGGGAUAACUUCGGGAAACCGGAGCUAAUACCGGAUAAUAUUUUGAACCGCAUGGUUCAAAAGUGAAAGACGGUCUUGCUGUCACUUAUAGAUGGAUCCGCGCUGCAUUAGCUAGUUGGUAAGGUAACGGCUUACCAAGGCAACGAUGCAUAGCCGACCUGAGAGGGUGAUCGGCCACACUGGAACUGAGACACGGUCCAGACUCCUACGGGAGGCAGCAGUAGGGAAUCUUCCGCAAUGGGCGAAAGCCUGACGGAGCAACGCCGCGUGAGUGAUGAAGGUCUUCGGAUCGUAAAACUCUGUUAUUAGGGAAGAACAGAUGUGUAAGUAACUGUGCACAUCUUGACGGUACCUAAACAGAAAGCCACGGCUAACUACGUG
This 497-nucleotide ribosomal RNA is filed under the name uncultured bacterium. RNAcentral's name for it is "partial 16S ribosomal RNA". It matches the Rfam family "Bacterial small subunit ribosomal RNA", at positions 28 to 507 of the family's 1533-position model. The record is from RNAcentral.